Long non-coding RNA from Protopterus annectens (West African lungfish), 843 nucleotides. RefSeq lists it as uncharacterized. The record is from RefSeq and is a predicted model, not a curated record. Lineage: Eukaryota; Metazoa; Chordata; Ceratodontiformes; Protopteridae. The transcript is spliced from 3 exons.
GGAACAUGGCUCUGGAAGGGCAAAUCGAGCUUCAAGCACAGUUGAAUAUUAUCACUUGUUAGCAGAGAAGAUUUACAAAAUUCAGAAGGAGUUGGAGGAGAAGCGAUGGUCACGUUUACAGAGACUGUCCAUUGUGGGUAAUCAGCCUGCUGUGCAGACAUCUGAAACUCAGCCUUCACCAGUACCAUCAGGUGCUCCCAUUCCUCAUCUUUCACCUCCUGUUUAACCAUCUACUCCAAGUCUUCUCGAGUAGUAGCAAUGAUGUCCAAUACGAAAAGCAAAGUUUUCCGCAGAUGUACGGAUUUUUUUGGAAGAAAUAGUGGAGUUGUGACAUCUCCAUCCUGCACUGCUGUGGAAAAUGGUCCAGUGUACUGUUGAGGAGACAUUUAUAUUUACACCGGCACAAGAAGAGUUCAAUUUCUUUUCAGGAAAAAAGUUUUGCUGGAAAGCUGUUGUGUACAUUAUUCAUAUAAAUCAUCUUUAGAAAUCUGAUGUGGUAUAGUUUGCUAUUGCACCAGCCCAGUGUUACUCGAAUGUUAGCCAAAUGUUCAUGCACUUGGUAAAGAAAUUGAGUAUCUGAGGGAUUUCAUAUCCAGCCAUGCCGGUUGUAAAUUCAGAAGCAAACAUUCAUAGAAUGAUUAAACAUAGGUCAUGAAAGAUGAGUUUCAAUGAAUACUUUCCAGUCAACAGAAAUAGGAAACAUAAUAUUGAAAAUCUUAUUUUUAUUCAUAAAGUUGAUUAACAUGGGACAGUUGCAUUUGCGUGUAGAUCAUUUGCAGUACCAAGAAAUACUGUUUUAUUCAAAUAAUGAGAAAACAGGAAUAAAGUUUAGGUUUAAGAACA